GGAUAAGGAAAGUAAAAAAGGGCGCAUGGCGGAUGCCUUGGCUCUCGGAGGCGAUGAAGGACGUGAUAAGCUGCGAUAAGCUUUGGGGAGGUGCAAAUGACCUUUGAUCCAGAGAUUUCCGAAUGGGACAACCCAAUAUCUUGAAGAGGUAUUAUCUUACUAUGUAAGAGGCUAACGCAGGGAACUGAAACAUCUUAGUACCUGCAGGAAAAGAAAAUAAACAAUGAUUCCCCCAGUAGUGGCGAGCGAACGGGGAACAGCCCAAACCAUCCAUGUUACGGCAUGGGUGGGGUUGUAGGACUACGCCGUUGCAUGAAGACAUCAGAGAAGAACUUUCUGGAAAGAAAGACCAUAGAGCAUGACAGUUGCGUAUUCGAAUGUUGUCGAAGCAUAGUAGUAUCCUGAGUAGCGCGGAGCACGAGGAAUUCUGCGUGAAUCUGCCGGGACCAUCCGGUAAGGCUAAAUACUCCCGAGAGACCGAUAGCGAACCAGUACCGUGAGGGAAAGGUGAAAAGCACUUCGAACAGAAGAGUGAAAUAGUUCCUGAAACCGUGCGCCUACAAGCGGUCGGAGCUCGUUAAUGAGUGACGGCGUGCCUUUUGCAUAAUGAACCUACGAGUUGCCUUUGCCGGCAAGGUUAAGUGUGACGACACACGUAUCCGAAGCGAAAGCGAGUCUGAACAGGGCGUAUAGUCGGCAGUGGCAGACGCGAAACCAAGUGAUCUACCCUUGGCCAGGUUGAAGGCUGGGUAACACCAGCUGGAGGACCGCACCAAUAAGCGUUGAAAAGCUUCUGGAUGAGCUGAGGGUAGGGGUGAAAGGCUAAUCAAACUUGGAGAUAGCUCGUACUCCCCGAAAUGCAUUUAGGUGCAGCCUUGCGGGUUACUGAUGUGAGGUAGAGCGACUGAUAAGAUGCGAGGGCUUCACCGCCUAUCAAGUCUUGACAAACUCCGAAUGCGCAUCAGUUCUACCGCAGGAGUGAGGGCAUGGGUGCUAAGGUCCGUGCCCGAGAGGAGAAGAAUCCGGACCACCUGCUAAGGUCCCGAAAUGACAGCUAAGUUAAACUAACGAAGUCUGACUGCUAAGACAGCUAGGAUGUUGGCUUGGAAGCAGCCAUUCAUUUAAAGAGUGCGUAACAGCUCACUAGUCGAGGAGUCGGGCGUGGAUAAUAAUCGGGUAUCAAGUUGUCUACCGAAGCAGUGGGAUCAUUUAUAUGAUCGGUAGGGGAGCAUUCCAGUCAGCGUCGAAGGCGUACCGUGAGGUAUUCUGGAGCGUCUGGAAAAGCAAAUGUAGGUAUAAGUAACGAUAAAGGGGGCGGGAAACCCCCUCGCCGAAAGACUAAGGUUUCCUGAUCAACGCUAAUCGGAUCAGGGUCAGUCGGGUCCUAAGGCUCAGCCGAACGGCGAUGCCGAUGGCAGAAACGGUUAAUAUUCCGUUACUACCUUCAGGAGUGACGUGGAGACGCAGUAGUGACAGUGCCGCCAUCUGACGGAAUAGAUGGUUGAAGGGUGUAGGAGUCGAUCAUGGCAGGCAAAUCCACCAUGAGAUCCGAACCUGACAGUAUGCCGCGUCCUUCGGGACAAGGCAAUAGUGCGCGUAAGCAUGCUGCCGAGAAAAUCCGCUAAACUUAAUCCUGCAGGUACCCGUACCGCAAACGGACACACGUAGUCGGGAUGAAUAUUCUAAGGCGCUUGAGUGAUUCACGGUUAAGGAACUAGGCAAACUGACCCUGUAACUUCGGGAUAAAGGGUCCCUACCCUUUUAUGGGAGGGCGCAGAGAAUCGGUCCAGGCAACUGUUUAACAAAAACACAGGGCUGUGCCAAAUCGAAAGAUCCAGUAUACAGCCUGACACCUGCCCGGUGCUGGAAGGUUAAGAGGAGAUGUCAUCGAUAAGAGAAGCGUUGAAUUGAAGCCCCAGUAAACGGCGGCCGUAACUAUAACGGUCCUAAGGUAGCGAAAUUCCUUGUCGGGUAAGUUCCGACCUGCACGAAUGGUGUAAUGAUCUGGACGCUGUCUCAACCGUGAGCUCAGUGAAAUUGUAGUAUCGGUGAAGAUGCCGAUUACCCGCGAUGGGACGAAAAGACCCCGUGAACCUUUACUAUAGCUUAUCAUUGAAUCUGGGCACGUGAUGUGUAGGAUAGGUCGGAGGCUUUGAAGCAGGUACGCCAGUAUUUGUGGAGCCGCUGUUGAAAUACGACCCUUUAUUUGUUUGGAUUCUAACCCGUGGAUACGGGGACAUUGAUUGGUGGGUAGUUUGACUGGGGUGGUCGCCUCCAAAAGCGUAACGGAGGCUUCUAAAGGUGCCCUCCGGCCGAUUGGUAACCGGCCUUAGAGUGUAAUGGCAUAAGGGCGCUUGACUGGGAGACUGACAAGUCGAUCAGGUAGGAAACUAGAGCAUAGUGAUCCGGUGUUUCCGUAUGGAAGGGACAUCGCUCAAAGGAUAAAAGGUACUCCGGGGAUAACAGGCUGAUCCCUCCCAAGAGCUCAUAUCGACGGAGUGGUUUGGCACCUCGAUGUCGGCUCGUCACAUCCUGGGGCUGGAGAAGGUCCCAAGGGUUGGGCUGUUCGCCCAUUAAAGUGGCACGCGAGCUGGGUUCAGAACGUCGUGAGACAGUUCGGUCUCUAUCUAUCGUGGGCGUAUGAAAUUUGCGUGGCUCUGACACUAGUACGAGAGGACCGUGUUGGACAGACCUCUGGUUUGCCGGUUGUGCCGCCAGGUGCAUUGCCGGGUAUCUAAGUCUGGAUCGGAUAAGUGCUGAAAGCAUCUAAGUACGAAGCCGGCCACAAGAUUAGAUUUCUCAGGGUCGUUGUAGACUACGACGUUGAUAGGAUGCAGGUGUAAAG
This 2845-nucleotide ribosomal RNA is filed under the name Phocaeicola vulgatus. RNAcentral describes it as "Bacteroides vulgatus partial 23S ribosomal RNA". It matches the Rfam family "Bacterial large subunit ribosomal RNA". Lineage: Bacteria; Pseudomonadati; Bacteroidota; Bacteroidia; Bacteroidales; Bacteroidaceae. The record is from RNAcentral.